RNAcentral lists this transfer RNA (72 nucleotides) under Stegodyphus mimosarum. It matches the Rfam family "tRNA". From Rfam's summary of the family: Transfer RNA (tRNA) molecules are approximately 80 nucleotides in length. Their secondary structure includes four short double-helical elements and three loops (D, anti-codon, and T loops). The record is from Rfam by way of RNAcentral. Lineage: Eukaryota; Metazoa; Arthropoda; Arachnida; Araneae; Eresidae.
GCCUUCGUGGUGUAACGGUUAACACACUCGGCGCGUAUUCGAGAGGUCCAAGUUCAAGUCCCGGCAAGAGCG